GGUUCCACAGUGUAGUGGUUAGCACGUCUGUUUUACAUGCAUAAGGUCCUGGGUUCGCGCCCCAGGUGGAGCCA
This 74-nucleotide transfer RNA is filed under the name Pteropus alecto (black flying fox). It matches the Rfam family "tRNA". Rfam says of the family: Transfer RNA (tRNA) molecules are approximately 80 nucleotides in length. Their secondary structure includes four short double-helical elements and three loops (D, anti-codon, and T loops). Further hydrogen bonds mediate the characteristic L-shaped molecular structure. tRNAs have two regions of fundamental functional importance: the anti-codon, which is responsible for specific mRNA codon recognition, and the 3' end, to which the tRNAs corresponding amino acid is attached (by aminoacyl-tRNA synthetases). tRNAs cope with the degeneracy of the genetic code in two manners: having more than one tRNA (with a specific anti-codon) for a particular amino acid; and 'wobble' base-pairing, i.e. permitting non-standard base-pairing at the 3rd anti-codon position. The record is from Rfam by way of RNAcentral. Lineage: Eukaryota; Metazoa; Chordata; Mammalia; Chiroptera; Pteropodidae.